RNAcentral lists this ribosomal RNA (790 nucleotides) under Passalora bolleana. RNAcentral's name for it is "partial large subunit ribosomal RNA". It matches the Rfam family "Eukaryotic large subunit ribosomal RNA", at positions 87 to 909 of the family's 3401-position model. Lineage: Eukaryota; Fungi; Ascomycota; Dothideomycetes; Mycosphaerellales; Mycosphaerellaceae. The record is from RNAcentral.
CGGCGAGUGAAGCGGCAACAGCUCAAAUUUGAAAUCUGGCGCAAGCCCGAGUUGUAAUUUGUAGAGGAUGCUUCUGGGUAGCGGCCGGUCUAAGUUCCUUGGAACAGGACGUCAUAGAGGGUGAGAAUCCCGUAUGUGAUUGGCUUGCACCCUCCACGUAGCUCCUUCGACGAGUCGAGUUGUUUGGGAAUGCAGCUCUAAAUGGGAGGUAAAUUUCUUCUAAAGCUAAAUACCGGCCAGAGACCGAUAGCGCACAAGUAGAGUGAUCGAAAGAUGAAAAGCACUUUGGAAAGAGAGUUAAAAAGCACGUGAAAUUGUUGAAAGGGAAGCGCCCGCAACCAGACUUUGCGGCGGUGUUCCGCCGGUCUUCUGACCGGUUCAUUCGCCGCCGUGAGGCCAUCAUCGUCUGGGGCCGCUGGAUAAGACCUUAGGAAUGUAGCUUCCCUCGGGAAGUGUUAUAGCCUCUGGUGAUGCAGCGCGCCCCGGGCGAGGUCCGCGCUUCGGCAAGGAUGAUGGCGUAAUGGUUGUCGGCGGCCCGUCUUGAAACACGGACCAAGGAGUCUAACAUCUAUGCGAGUGUUCGGGUGUCAAACCCCUACGCGUAAUGAAAGUGAACGGAGGUGGGAACUUUUUGUGCACCAUCGACCGAUCCUGAUGUCCUCGGAUGGAUUUGAGUAAGAGCAUAGCUGUUGGGACCCGAAAGAUGGUGAACUAUGCCUGAAUAGGGUGAAGCCAGAGGAAACUCUGGUGGAGGCUCGCAGCGGUUCUGACGUGCAAAUCGAUCGUCAAA